AUGUCUCCAUGGUUAAUGACAGUAAUAUUCUUAAUAGUCGGAAGGACUUGUGGAAUAUCGGUGACCCAGAAGGAAAGCCGCAUAUCUGUGUUGGAAGGGGCUUCCAUGACCAUAGACUGCACUUAUACAGCAACAGGGUACACUUAUCUCUUCUGGUAUGUCCAGUAUCCUGGAGAUGGUCUCCAGCUUCUCCUGAAAGCCAUCACAGCCAAUGAGAAGGGAAGCUAUAAAGGAUUUGAAGCCAGAUAUGACAGAGAAAACACCUCCUUCCACUUGAAGAAAGCUGCAGUCCUAGAGUCAGACUCGGCUGUGUACUACUGUGCUGUGAGUGACACAGUGGCAGAAACCACAGGGGGAGCUGAGCACAAACUGAGGGACAGCAGAGGUCUGGCAGCUGAACAUCUGCCCUUCAGAUUGUUGUGGUUUCAGCACAGUCUUAGGUGUGUGCCUUCACUUACCUCCUGAUCCAAAAUUCCACAAAUGUCAGAGGAAACAGGAAAUGGACAUCACCAUAUUUAGCUGUUCAGUAGUGAACUGAAGAAGACUGGUCUGAUGGAGAGAAAGAUGUGGAAGCUUUUAGGAGUCUCAUUCGUCCUAUCCUGUGUCAGCUGUGCUGUGAGAAGGUGGCUCUGCAGAAGUCAAUAAAACAAGCAGAUUAUGGUAACCUCCUCUAUAUUGUGGAAUUUCACAUUGGAUGGUGGUGCUAUUGUGCUCA
Molecule: non-coding RNA, 715 nt
Organism: Dipodomys spectabilis (banner-tailed kangaroo rat)
Lineage: Eukaryota; Metazoa; Chordata; Mammalia; Rodentia; Heteromyidae
Source: the annotation of a RefSeq genome assembly